GCCUCCGUAGCUCAAUGGAUAGAGCAGCAGUUUCCUAAACUGCGGGUACGGGUUCAACUCCCGUCGGGGGCC
Molecule: transfer RNA, 72 nt
Filed under: Patescibacteria group bacterium
Lineage: Bacteria
Description: tRNA-Arg
Rfam family: tRNA
About the family: Transfer RNA (tRNA) molecules are approximately 80 nucleotides in length.
Source: RNAcentral